GUGCAUGUUAAUAUUAUGAGAAUUAUGCUAAGUUGGUAGUUGCAUUGGAAGUAUAUGCAUGUAGCAUUAUAGAAUUACGUAUGUUGAUAGUUGCAUACGGACGCAUCGCAACCAUAUGUUAGUAGAUUAGAUGCAUGUUAAUAUUUAUAUGCAUUGUGGAAUACAUGCUAAGUACAUAUUAGCAAUGUGAGAUCAUGUUAGAGAGCAUGCGUAUUAACCUAUAUUGAUAGGGUAAGCUAAUGUCAUAAAGAGGCAUUGGGUUGGAAUUGGAUUAUUAAGCUAAUGUCAUAAAGCGACAUUGAGUUUGGGACAUGUAUGAACUAGUAAAUAAUGCCAUAAAGAGGCAUGGAAAUUGGAACAUGCUUGGAUAUAGUAAUGUUCUAGUGUCCUAAAGAGGCAUAGACUUAGUGAAUGUUGGAACUUCACUUUGACACAUAGACUAGACCUUGGGGUUAUAGUGGUUUUCUAUGUUAGAGACAUGAUGACGAGAUCCGUGACAUGAUGACUAUGCUUGCUUGCCAUUUGUGCUCAUUCGUACAUGCUUUGUGAGGGUCGCUCCCUACAAGCCGGCACUCCGGAGUUGGCCUUUGCGACGCAGUUCGCUGCGUGCGGGUUGAGACGCCUGUAGGGUCGCGUGGGACAGCCUCAUUCCAGCGUGGGAAGAUGAGCUACCACGGGCAGCUAGGCGGCGAGGCGCUGUAGGUCGUGUGGGACGACUCAUUCUAGCGUGGAAUGAUGGGCUACCACAGGCAGCUAGGCGGCACAAGCCGGACUACAUUUGUGUAGGUCCUAAAAUAAGAUUGAAACAAUACAUUAAAUUGGUGUAUAACAAUCACUACUAAUAGGCUUAGUAGUUGGUUACUUGGACAUGCUUUUGCAUAAUAUUGGACAUUUGGACGUGAUAGUAUUACUUGUUGCAUCAUAGCGAUACUUGCGUAGCCGGUGAUAGAACAUAGUAUGUAUGUAUUGGCAUAUUGGAUUAGGAUAGAGUAGAUGUACUCCAUGUUCUUAUCAUAAUAUACUUGUGGCAUAGCAGUAUAGCAUUUCUUUAUUGCUUAAUUAUUUUGCAGUUGUUAUUUCAUUUUCUAUAUCUGCUCAUGACUUGGGCCUAGUGGUGCAUUUUGCUAAGGUCAGUAAUUGCCCACUGGGAACUAUAAAUUAUAGUUCUCACGCCCCCUGUUUUAUGUUUUCUUUCAGAGCCUUCCACCCCGGGAGAGGCUCGGGAUCGCGGGAAAGGAAUCGCCUCGAGUUAGCUAGCGAGGAAUUCGACGAUAGGUGGUCUACCUCUCUUCUGAGUUUUGUUUGGAGAGGUUGAGAGACUUGUACCCUUUUUGUAGAGACCACCCCCUAUAUGUAGCUUGAGACUCAUAAUGUAUUAUUUUACGUUUUGCCUUGGUGGUUUAGUUUCCCUUGUUUCUACCUGUUGUUAGAACCUAGCUGUAUACUUGCUCUGAUAUCUUUAGAUACACUCUAUUUGUUGUUCAUUUAUUUGCUAUUGUUGUAGACGCCUUAUAUGUGUAGGCAUAUGGCGGGUCUGGACACGCACCGGGCGGGCCUAGGCCGGGUCCCGGGGCGUGACAUAUA
Molecule: long non-coding RNA, 1584 nt
Filed under: Ananas comosus (pineapple)
Lineage: Eukaryota; Viridiplantae; Streptophyta; Magnoliopsida; Poales; Bromeliaceae
Description: long non-coding RNA (ACOM_LNC035955)
Source: RNAcentral